Molecule: non-coding RNA, 288 nt
Organism: Pelobates cultripes (western spadefoot toad)
Lineage: Eukaryota; Metazoa; Chordata; Amphibia; Anura; Pelobatidae
Source: the annotation of a GenBank genome assembly
GAGGACACAAAGAAGUCAAUGUAUGGAUACUAUGUAUUAUUCAAUAUGAUAAAAAAAUCUGUUAAUUUGAUAAUAAUUAAAAAAUAUACAGCAAAACCACAACAGAAAAGGGAAAAGGAAGCAUAUAAAUGCACAGAGAGUAAAGAACAGAAGCUGAUAAGCUCCGCGAUGUAAGAGGGGUAGAAAGAGUUCUGCUUAAAAUUUCUAUAUUUAAAGGUAGGAGGAACAAAAGUUAAAUAGCUCCAAGUCACUCUUGCAUAAAGUGGUUAUGGUGAGUGAAAGCCAUAU